Saccostrea echinata is the source of this 388-nucleotide long non-coding RNA. RefSeq lists it as uncharacterized. NCBI's taxonomy places the organism in Eukaryota, Metazoa, Mollusca, Bivalvia, Ostreida, Ostreidae. The record is from RefSeq and is a predicted model, not a curated record. The transcript is spliced from 3 exons.
UUCCGCAAAAUGUCACCGCUCCCAACGGAAAAACAGCUCUCCGCAUUCUUUAAAUCUAGACCUAUCGCCAGGUUCCUUGCAAUUGGCGCAUUGUUCAUGCACAGCUGGAGCCAGUGGGUCAUGCUCUCACAUUAUUGGCUUGCUGAUGGCUCUUCAGCAUUGGAUUCUUAUGGGUUUUAAAGCAGUCCCUGAUAACCUAACGUGUACUAGUUUGCCCCAGCAAUGGUCUGUGCCAAGAGGAAGCAAGAUUGAAAGUUCAGCUGCCCCCCAAAUUUGCAUUAUUAAACCCCAUCCUGAUAGAAAACAGAAACCCGUAGAAAGUGUGUUGACAGAAUGCAGGAAGUUUUAUGUGAAUGGGGAAGAUGUUGACCAUUUAAAGGCCUAAAAA